Nerophis lumbriciformis (worm pipefish) is the source of this 269-nucleotide long non-coding RNA. RefSeq lists it as uncharacterized. NCBI's taxonomy places the organism in Eukaryota, Metazoa, Chordata, Actinopteri, Syngnathiformes, Syngnathidae. The record is from RefSeq and is a predicted model, not a curated record.
GCACAGUGUUGCUGCGACACAAGUAGCCAGUGUACCUGGCCCCCGCCAAGUACGCCAUCAGCUUCAGGUCGUCACGGUCGGCGUCCACGAAGCCCGUCACCGACAUGAUCUGUCAGGAAGUAAAGAAGCAGGUGUGUGCAGCGGCUGGUCAGGGAGGAGUCAACAGCACCCCCACACGCCUGGAUCACCUGCACGGAGGAGCUGCACCACCUGUACACACACACACACACACACCCAUGUGGAUGAACUUGACUGGCCUGCACAGAGUC